UACGGGAGGCAGCAGUGGGGAAUAUUGCACAAUGGGCGCAAGCCUGAUGCAGCCAUGCCGCGUGUAUGAAGAAGGCCUUCGGGUUGUAAAGUACUUUCAGCGGGGAGGAAGGCGAUGUGGUUAAUAACCGCGUCGAUUGACGUUACCCGCAGAAGAAGCACCGGCUAACUCCGUGCCAGCAGCCGCGGUAAUACGGAGGGUGCAAGCGUUAAUCGGAAUUACUGGGCGUAAAGCGCACGCAGGCGGUCUGUUAAGUCAGAUGUGAAAUCCCCGGGCUUAACCUGGGAACUGCAUUUUGAACUGGCAGGCUUGAGUCUCGUAGAGGGGGUAGAAUUCCAGGUGUAGCGGUGAAAUGCGUAGAGAUCUGGAGGAAUACCGGUGGCGAAGGCGGCCCCUGGGACGAAGACUGACGCUCAGGUGCGAAAGCGUGGGGAGCAAACGAGGAUUAGGAUA
This 453-nucleotide ribosomal RNA is filed under the name uncultured bacterium. RNAcentral's name for it is "bacterial SSU rRNA". It matches the Rfam family "Bacterial small subunit ribosomal RNA", at positions 340 to 784 of the family's 1533-position model. The record is from RNAcentral.